Molecule: long non-coding RNA, 5519 nt
Organism: Amphiprion ocellaris (clown anemonefish)
Lineage: Eukaryota; Metazoa; Chordata; Actinopteri; Pomacentridae
Exons: 4
Source: RefSeq, a predicted model, not a curated record
UUCGCCUUGCAGCUAGAAGAUCCCUGGUUCGCGUCCCGGCUUUCCCGGGAUCUUUCUGCAUGGAGUUUGCAUGUUCUCCCUGUGCAUGCGUGGGUUUUCUCCGGGUACUCCGGCUUCCUCCCACAGUCCAAAAAUAUGCUGAGGUUAAUUGAUCAUUCUAAAUUGCCCGUAGGUGUGAAUGUGAGAGUGAUUGUUUGUCUCUGUAUGUAGCCCUGUGACAGACUGGUGACCUGUCUAGGGUGUCCCCUGCCUUCACCUGAGUCAGCUGGGAUAGACUCCAGCCCCCCAUGACCCUAGUGAGGAUUAAGCGGUGUAUAGAUAAUGGAUGGAAAAAAAUAAACUCCGUAAGAGACAGAAACGAAAAAAGGUCAGUUUUUUCAUUUUCUGAGACCGGAAGUGGUCAUCAGCAAGUGUCGAACCAAACGACAAGAAGAUUCUCAGAGGGCGGAGCCAGAGAGCAGUGAUUGGUCAGACAACGCGCUAGCUAUCGUCUGGUAGCAUAUCUGGCUGCUGUUGACCUUGUUUUUGGAGUAAAACACGGUAAGAAGAUAAAUACUUCUAACCUGUAGCGUUGUUUUGUUGUACGUUAAGUCAGCGACUUGUGAAGAGUUGUGUUUUGUCGUGUUUGAGCAGUUGGUCCGGACGCGUUGGCUCGCUAAGCGGCUAAGUUAGCUAGCUAAGCGGCUAAGUUAGCUAGCGGGCUAAUUAACACAGGUGGCUAACUUACCACUGAACACCUGUGUUAGUUGCUGGCACAGCUGUCUGUCAUUAUUAGAAGGAACUUCUCAACCUGUAUUUCUCUGCUGUGUAUUUUAGCUUUUAAAAAGUUAUUUUACUUUAAGGUUAACUGAAACCCGUUCAGCUGCACUGAAGUUUAACAUUUAGUUGCUUUGAAUUAAACCACACUUAACAUUGUGCAGCAUUACCUCUCUGAAUCUGCAUAAUUUCAUUAAAUUCUUUCUCUCUUUCACUGCUCAAGUUCAAUCCAGUAUGUAAAGUGACAUUAAUAGUGAAUAAACUAACAACCAGCCAUUGUAUAUAUUUAUUAUUGCAUGUAUUUGUAGUAAAACAUGAGAUGAAACAUCCUACUUUUGGAUCUAGAACUGCAAAGCUGUUCAUUUUCAGUCACCUGACGAGUUAAACUCCCCUUUUUAUGUGAAGUUGAAGCAGAAAGUCUGAAUUAACAAAGAAAGUUGUUUAUAAUUUGCGAUACCUGUUAUUUCUGACUGAGGCUUUAGUUUUUGUUGAGCUGAUUUACAUGUAGAAACUUUGUUCAGGAAGAUUUCUCAGUAGCUCAGAGGACAGGCUGCUUUUUACACACCGUUGUAAGAGAAUGUCUGUCAAUGCUUUCAGCAGAAUUUAGAAACACAACACUUCCUAAACAGAUAUUUUGAGGCUGUGAGGUUGAACGUUUGAGAGUGUAUCAGUGUGUUUGUUUGUGGUCUUUCUGUUUCUAGGUGGAAGCUGAAUUAGUGAGGAUGACUCCUGCUCCUGUCAUCUCUAAGCUCCUCACACAUCUUUACCUGCACAUGAGGAAAAUCACUCCUGUAGAAUGCAGAUGUUCAGAGGGAGAUGAUGCCACAUCUGGUCCAGCUGAUGGAAGGUCUUGAAGUUCUCUGACUGGCCUGGACUGAAGAUGGUCGUCUCACUGGAUUUAAGGUUCAGAUGCUCAGUAACAAACUCCACCAAUGAGCCAGCAGGGAAGCUUUAGGUUUAUUAAAUGUUGCUGUGAAGGUUUCGCUGUUUUUCUUUGUGAAUACAAUGAGCUCCAACUGAAACUUGAAUUAGAACUUAGAAGUAAAUCCUUCCACCUGAAAGCAUUUAGUUGCAUUAAUAACCUCAUAACAUUCUAAUUUUUAUUCCAGUCUUGGUUGGAAAUAGAAUCUCUGUAUUGAUUCAGGUAAAAACUGAACUUCACAGCAUGUUGGAGCAAAACAACCAGAUAAAAACUGUGAUGGUGUUGGAUUGUCAGACCGUAAUGUUGCAGCUCAAAGCAGCUUUUCUAUCUCAGUUCAUUCUGACAUUCAGCUAUAAAUCAACACAGCAGAUGGUGAUCCAUGCUGUGGAAGUCUCACAUCUCCUGAUUUAAUGGAGCUGCUUUGCACUUUUUACACUGUUUAUUCACCAACACUUUAUUUAAUAAAAGUCCCAUCUAGUUUUUAUGAGGAAUGUGAUGUUUUAAUUUCUCUGUGAAAAACUGCAGUCUAAUGGAACAGCUGGAAUUGUAACAUCUGUCCUGAUAUUGAUCAUGAAGUAUUGAUCAGAAUACUUAUGGUCAGCAGUCAUCCCUGAAGUUUUACAUUAAAAUCUUUACUUGUGUUGUGAACUUUGGUAAGAAGCAGAAACUUUAGCGUUGCCAUGGAUACAUGAGUGUUAAAUUCUGUCCAUGUUUCCAUUUUGGGAAAUUCAGUCCAGCAGAUGAGUUUGUUUUUACUGCCAGCUACAUUCAGUCUGAGAUAUUAAGAAUAAAUAAAGGUGCAUAAUGUGGAAAUGAACAGAUUUUAUUUUUUUUUAUUCCUACAGCAGCUGCAGGUAAAGUUUCAGAAUGUGGAGGAAUUUAGUCUCACAAUCACAGACAAUAAAUAUUAUCUGAAAGUCGGGUCAUUGUUGUUUAUCAGCACAAUACAAAAAGAUUCAUGUUAGAAAUAUUCCAGUUAAGACUCUAGAAUAUCAGGAUUUAUGUAAAUUUACCUCAAUAAUAUGAAUGUUCAGGUUAAGAUUGUGCAGUGAUAUUUAUUAUGUAAGUUUAGCUGAUUAAAGAUUAUGACUCUGCACUACAAUAUUAUUUAUUAUUUAAAUUUACAUCAUUAUUAUAAUAUUUAGGGUCAGACUCUACAGUAUUGAGAAUAAGAAAUCAAAUAUUCUAUAAAAUGUACAUACACUGAAUUAAUUUGGAUAUAUUUAAGUGAGACUCUACAAUAUUAUUUGACACAAAUCUAUCUAAAUCAAAAUUUUAAUCAUUUUUACUCCAAACAUUUACUGGACUGAUUUAAAUAUUCAAAUCACUCCUUUCUAAUCCUCUGCUGUACGUUCAAACCUGAGGCCUUAAAUAGAAACACACAAGUAUCUGAUUGAAGGAACUUCUGCAGAGUCCUGGUUCCAGAACAUGAUGAUAGAAUUAUAGACAAACUUUAACAAAACAUCCAGAAUUGGAGCUCAUAUCUUUGGCAGCUGUAAAGUUUCUGCUCCUUCAAAGUUCACAACACAAUGAAUGAAUUCCUAAAACACUCUCAGUGCUGGAGAGCUUUUGAUGCUGAAGCAGUGAUCAGUUUUUCUGUUUCUUCUCUGGAGAUGCACAAUGAGGGACGUCUGCAGAGACUGAGAAAGAGUCUCACCACAUCCUGACAUGAGGAAAAAGACUUUAUUGAAGACUACAAUGAGAAAAACUAUCAGACAGCAGACGGCUGCAUUCAAGAGAGGAAGACCAUCAAACAUCCACAUCAGCUGAUGGAGGUCCAAGAGUCUCACCCAACAAACAACCUACAGAGUGAAGACCUCCAAUCUGAUUGGACGGCCUCCUAUUCAGCCACAUUUUAGGCUGUUAGAUUGUUCCAGAUAAGACAAGUACAAGAUUCUUCAGAGCCGUUCUACCAUGAGCCUGACAGGAAGAACUCCAACAUCUACUGAAUGUUCCUAUGGUCCCCUCAAGGCUACAGUAGGAGUCCUACGAGGAUGAGCCGGUCCACCUGAUGGUGGCCAGUCGCUGCGGUUCAAAGCCAUCACCGACUACAUGGACUUCUACUGGACCACACAGAGGCCUUCAAACCGGACCAACAAGUUCAGCGACUCCCCGACUCGUGGGUCUGAGGACACCACUGAGCCUCGGUCCAGCCGGCCGUCAUAAACUUACUCUUUCAAAUAAAUAUCCUCCUAACCCCCUGGAAACCAGUGUUUGUCCUGUUUUUGUAUUGCUCCUCAGCGACCCUAGACAGCCGGGUCCUAAUGUUUUUUGAGCAACACACCAUACUAUGACGGUUUUACAAUGAUGGUUCUACUAUGGAACCAGUUUGACAUGUUCAGGUGUUCUUUGUGUGAAAACUCAGAGAUUUCAGGGAUCAGAAGGUGGUUUUCAACUUUGUUAACUUUCUGCUUCAACUUUAAACUAAAUUUCCUUGACUAAGCCAGCCCUCUGGACUUCCAGGAAGCUGUGUUCCUAUUGGCUGUCCAGGUGGCUGCUUGGUGUUAUCAGGAACACCUGAGCAGCUCAGUGUCUUCCUGCUUUAUUUAGCUGCAGACAAACAUUUCCUCUGCUUCUCUUCACCACUGAAUCGGGUUUGGCUCCAUUGCUUUAGUUUGUUCUUUAGGGUGUUGGCUUGCAGCUUCCAGCAGUAAAAUCGUCUUUAAUGUGUUUCUUGGUGUGUUUUAGCGCUUUGUACUGGAUAGUUGUCUUGGUAAAUGUGGUUCUUUAGCCACAGUUAGCACAUGGUGCUAAUGUGUGCAGUGAUUAGUGGAUUUGGUGCAGCUGAGUUGUGUCUUUAUCUUGGCUGUAGUGAGUCUUCAGAGGUUUCUGGUCAGACACAUUCUGUAUUCUUGUUUGAGAACCAGCGUUGGUUGUCCAGAAGGUAAGAGUUCCUGUCCUGAUUCUCUGUUCUCAGAGGUUCUCUGGUAGGCUGCAGGAGACUUUAGUGUUUGGGUUGUGCUAGUUUGGUUUUUGUACGGUUUCAUUUGGACGACUAUCUUGAGGCCCCUCCAUGUGGUUUAGUGAGGUUUUCUGGAACAGUUCUACAAAGCAACCUGCAGCAGAAGAGACUUUGAGAGUUUUUAGGAAGUUCUGGAGACCAGACUUUAGAGCAGCAGAAACAUUUGUCAGCAGUUUGAGCAGGAGAAGGUGAGCUUCAGAGUAGAAAUGAGACAGAAACCUUCUUGACCCGUGUGGUGAGGUCCUGUACCAAGAGUUUGAGCAGGUUGUGAAGAGUCUGUAGUUCUUUGGUCUGAAAGCACGAGAAGAGUCGACUCAUUAAAGGAGAAAACAGGAGAUAUUGUUGGUUCUUCUGUCACUCUGCAGUUUCCUUAGACUGAAUAUCAAGUUUAUAUUUUAAAUGAUUUCCCAUGUGAGCCCAAGAAGACUUCAAUAAACUCCCUCCAUCCCCUGGAAACAACAUAUUUUAUUACCAUGUGAAAUCUUUUUUUAAAAUAUGUUUUUGAGUUUUAAUCAUAGUUUUAGCAUAGUUUUUUCUCUUUGCUUGUUUAGUUUUGUCAUCUGUGUGAAAGGUGCUAAACAAAUAAAGUUGAAUUGAUAAAGUGAAUAAUUGACUAACUCAUGAUUGUGACAACAGAAGUAUUUUCAUUGUGAUUUAAGGGUUUGUUUCAUUUUUAAGGUUGGGGUUAAAAGCUUGACAGAAAAAAAAGAUUAAAGAAAUAAACUACAUUGAAAAAAGCAAUUAAAUUGAAGGAAAAAAGCAUUUAAUACAAUAAAACUUUUAAAAAGAAAAUUAAGCAUUAAAUACAAUUAAAAUAUAUUAAACACAAAAUAUAUAAUUUGAUAAUUAAACAGAAGCUACAAAACAUGUAACUAUGAA